This 253-nucleotide ribosomal RNA is filed under the name uncultured bacterium. RNAcentral describes it as "partial 16S ribosomal RNA". It matches the Rfam family "Bacterial small subunit ribosomal RNA", at positions 524 to 776 of the family's 1533-position model. The record is from RNAcentral.
UACGGAGGGUGCAAGCGUUACCCGGAAUCACUGGGCGUAAAGGGCGUGUAGUCGGUUAUUUAAGUCUGGUUUUAAAGACCGGGGCUCAACCCCGGGAGUGGACUGGAUACUGGAUGACUUGACCUCUGGAGAGGGAACUGGAAUUCCUGGUGUAGCGGUGGAAUGCGUAGAUACCAGGAGGAACACCAAUGGCGAAGGCAAGUUCCUGGACAGAAGGUGACGCUGAGGCGCGAAAGUUUGGGGAGCGAACCGG